RNAcentral lists this ribosomal RNA (324 nucleotides) under uncultured eukaryote. RNAcentral describes it as "partial 18S ribosomal RNA". It matches the Rfam family "Eukaryotic small subunit ribosomal RNA", at positions 1470 to 1796 of the family's 1831-position model. The record is from RNAcentral.
CCCUUAGAUGUUCUGAACCGCACGCGUGUUACACUGAUGCAUUCAACGAGCUUUACCUUGGCCGAGAGGCCUGGGACAUCUUUUUAGCAUGCAUCGUGAUAGGGAUUGAUUAUUGCAAUUAUUAAUCAUGAACGAGGAAUUCCUAGUAAACGCAUUUCAUCAAAAUGCAUUGAUUACGUCCCUGCCCUUUGUACACACCGCCCGUCGCACCUACCGAUUGAGUGGUCCGGUGAAGUCUCGAGAUUGUGGCAAUCUCCUUUAUUGGAGUUUGACUGCGAGAACUUGCCUAAACCUUAUCACUUAGAGGAAGGUGAAGUCGUAACA